AUUGAACGCUGGCGGCAGGCCUAACACAUGCAAGUCGAACGGUAACAGGAAGCAGCUUGCUGCUUUGCUGACGAGUGGCGGACGGGUGAGUAAUGUCUGGGAAACUGCUCGAUGGAGGGGGAUAACUACUGGAAACGGUAGCUAAUACCGCAUAACUUCGCAAGACCAAAGAGGGGGACUUUAGGGCCUCUUGCCAUCGGCUGUGCCCAGAUGGGAUUAGCUAGUAGGUGGGGUAACGGCUCACCUAGGCGACGAUCCCUAGCUGGUCUGAGAGGAUGACCAGCCACACUGGAACUGAGACACGGUCCAGACUCCUACGGGAGGCAGCAGUGGGGAAUAUUGCACAAUGGGCGCAAGCCUGAUGCAGCCAUGCCGCGUGUAUGAAGAAGGCCUUCGGGUUGUAAAGUACUUUCAGCGGGGAGGAAGGGAGUAAAGUUAAUACCUUUGCUCAUUGACGUUACCCGCAGAAGAAGCACCGGCUAACUCCGUG
RNAcentral lists this ribosomal RNA (490 nucleotides) under uncultured bacterium. RNAcentral describes it as "partial 16S ribosomal RNA". It matches the Rfam family "Bacterial small subunit ribosomal RNA", at positions 30 to 507 of the family's 1533-position model. The record is from RNAcentral.